RNAcentral lists this ribosomal RNA (407 nucleotides) under uncultured bacterium. RNAcentral describes it as "partial 16S ribosomal RNA". It matches the Rfam family "Bacterial small subunit ribosomal RNA", at positions 30 to 526 of the family's 1533-position model. The record is from RNAcentral.
AUUGAACGCUAGCGGGAUGCUUUACACAUGCAAGUCGAACGCAGUGGCGGACGGGUGAGUAAUAUAUCGGAACGUGCCCAGUAGCGGGGGAUAACUACUCGAAAGAGUGGCUAAUAACGCUUACUAUUGGUGCGGCCGUUAUCGGAUUAGCUAGUUGGUGGGGUAAAGGUUCACCAAGGCAACGAUCCGUCGCUGGUUUGAGAGGACGACCAGCCACACGAGGACUGAGACAUGGCCCAGACUCCUACGGGAGGCAGCAGUGGGGAAUUUUUGACAAUGGGGGAAACCCUGAUCCAGCCAUCCCGCGUGUAGGAUGAAGGCCUUCGGGUUGUAAAGUACUUUUGGCAGAGAAGCGGUAUAUGCAGAAUAAGCACCGUCGAACUACGUGCCAGCAGCCGCGGUAAUAC